AACAAGGCGUACCUGCGGACCUGCGGAAGGAUCAUUAAUAAAGGCUUGUCGAGUUCUACUCGACAUUCCUGAUCAUUCCUUUGUGCACUUUCGAUAAUGCUUUGGUAGAUUUUCAAAAAUCUACCAAAAGUUUUAUUAAAGCCUUUCUUUUAUGUCUGAAAUAAAGAAAUUUAAUUCAAAUACAACUUUCAACAACGGAUCU
This 202-nucleotide unclassified non-coding RNA is filed under the name soil metagenome. RNAcentral describes it as "partial contains 5.8S ribosomal RNA, internal transcribed spacer 2, and large subunit ribosomal RNA". The record is from RNAcentral.